This 253-nucleotide ribosomal RNA is filed under the name uncultured bacterium. Its description in RNAcentral is "partial 16S ribosomal RNA". It matches the Rfam family "Bacterial small subunit ribosomal RNA", at positions 524 to 776 of the family's 1533-position model. The record is from RNAcentral.
UACGUAGGGUGCGAGCGUUAAUCGGAAUUACUGGGCGUAAAGCGUGCGCAGGCGGUUCGUUGUGUCGGCGGUGAAAGCCCCGGGCUUAACCUGGGAAUGGCCGUUGAAACUGGCGAACUGGAGUGUGGCAGAGGGGGGUGGAAUUCCGCGUGUAGCAGUGAAAUGCGUAGAGAUGCGGAGGGACACCGAUGGCGAAGGCAGCCCCCUGGGCUAACACUGACGCUCAGGCACGAAAGCGUGGGGAGCAAACAGG